UGGUAGUUUGAAAAUCAGGUGAGAGUGAUGAGUGUAAUGAGAUCAGGUGGAGUCCAGUGAGACGGUACCAGAAGCUCAGAGCAUUUAUAACUCCAAACUGGGUGGAAGUUUCAUCAAACAGCAGCACUUCAUCUCCUUCACUUUGACUCUGCUGGUGGACAUCAGCUCAGAGUUCCUCAUCAUGUCUCUGUGUGUUGUCAAGAUCUCCUGGAUGGUCUUUGUCCUCUUCAGCAUUGGAGCUUGUCUUCCUGCUAAACAAGG
Molecule: long non-coding RNA, 261 nt
Organism: Oryzias melastigma (Indian medaka)
Lineage: Eukaryota; Metazoa; Chordata; Actinopteri; Beloniformes; Adrianichthyidae
Exons: 3
Source: RefSeq, a predicted model, not a curated record